RNAcentral lists this ribosomal RNA (253 nucleotides) under uncultured bacterium. RNAcentral's name for it is "partial 16S ribosomal RNA". It matches the Rfam family "Bacterial small subunit ribosomal RNA", at positions 524 to 776 of the family's 1533-position model. The record is from RNAcentral.
GACAGAGGUCCCGAGCGUUAGGCGGAAUCACUGGGCUUAAAGAGCGCGCAGGCGGUCGAUCAAGUCGAGUGUGAAAGCCCCCGGCUCAACUGGGGAGGGUCAUUCGAUACUGAUCGACUCGAAGGCAGGAGAGGGUAGUGGAAUUCCCGGUGUAGUGGUGAAAUGCGUAGAUAUCGGGAGGAACACCAGUGGCGAAGGCGACUACCUGGCCCAACAUUGACGCUGAGACCCGAAAGCGUGGGGAUCAAACAGG